UUUCAAAAAUACUAAAAUCUGAAUAAUUCCUAAAUCUUAAUUAUAUUAUUAUUUUAAUAUAAAUUUGAAAAGAAUACUAAAUAAAUAAAUAAAGCUUUGUCAUCAUCAUGUUCUUACCUUAAUGUUAAAGAAGAAAUAAGUUUUUGAAGCAACAUGAGGGGGCCAGCCAGUCAAACAGAUGAGAGAGGCUCUUCUCAUGCACUCAUGUGGGACACCUCUACCGUCGCCGUGAUUGACUGAGGAACUGCAUUGACAUUUUGAAAAGAGCUUGACAGAUGAGAGACCCAGACGGUCUUCACCUACCAUCACAAAAUAAAUUGGGCUUCCUAUCAGCUGUAA
Long non-coding RNA from Cyprinus carpio (common carp), 339 nucleotides. RefSeq lists it as uncharacterized. The record is from RefSeq and is a predicted model, not a curated record. The transcript is spliced from 2 exons. Lineage: Eukaryota; Metazoa; Chordata; Actinopteri; Cypriniformes; Cyprinidae.